GACGAACCGUGCGAACGUUGUUCGGAAUCACUGGGCUUAAAGGGCGCGUAGGCGGCUUGCCAAGUCAGGGGUGAAAUCCAGCAGCUUAACUGUUGAAGUGCCUUUGAUACUGGCGAGCUUGAGGGAGGUAGGGGUAUGCGGAACUUCUGGUGGAGCGGUGAAAUGCGUUGAUAUCAGAAGGAACGCCGGUGGCGAAAGCGGCGUACUGGACCUCUUCUGACGCUGAGGCGCGAAAGCUAGGGGAGCAAACGGG
This 253-nucleotide ribosomal RNA is filed under the name Gemmataceae bacterium. RNAcentral describes it as "partial 16S ribosomal RNA". It matches the Rfam family "Bacterial small subunit ribosomal RNA", at positions 524 to 776 of the family's 1533-position model. The record is from RNAcentral. Lineage: Bacteria; Pseudomonadati; Planctomycetota; Planctomycetia; Gemmatales; Gemmataceae.